RNAcentral lists this ribosomal RNA (495 nucleotides) under uncultured bacterium. RNAcentral describes it as "partial 16S ribosomal RNA". It matches the Rfam family "Bacterial small subunit ribosomal RNA", at positions 28 to 507 of the family's 1533-position model. The record is from RNAcentral.
GAUGAACGCUGGCGGCGUGCCUAAUACAUGCAAGUAGAACGCUGAAGGAGGAGCUUGCUCUUCUGGAUGAGUUGCGAACGGGUGAGUAACGCGUAUGUAACCUGCCUGGUAGCGGGGGAUAACUAUUGGAAACGAUAUCUAAUACCGCAUGACAACAGUUAUUGCAUGAUAACUGUUUAAAAGGGGCAACUGCUCCACUACCAGAUGGACCUGCGUUGUAUUAGCUAGUUGGUGAGGUAACGGCUCACCAAGGCGACGAUACAUAGCCGACCUGAGAGGGUGAUCGGCCACACUGGGACGGAGACACGGCCCAGACUCCUACGGGAGGCAGCAGUAGGGAAUCGUCGGCCAUGGACGGAAGACUGACCGAGCAACGCCGCGUGCGUGAAGAAGGUUUUCGGAUCGGAAAGCUCUGUUGUAAGAGAAGAACGAGCGUGAGAGUGGAAAGUUCACAAUGUGACGGUAUCUUAACAGAAAGGGACGGCUAACUACGUG